AUUGAACGCUGGCGGCAUGCUUUACACAUGCAAGUCGAACGGUAACAGGUUAAGCUGACGAGUGGCGAACGGGUGAGUGAUAUAUCGGAACGUGCCCAGUCGUGGGGGAUAACGUAGCGAAAGUUACGCUAAUACCGCAUACGAUCUAAGGAUGAAAGCGGGGGAUCGCAAGACCUCGCGCGAUUGGAGCGGCCGAUAUCAGAUUAGGUAGUUGGUGGGGUAAAGGCCCACCAAGCCAACGAUCUGUAGCUGGUCUGAGAGGACGACCAGCCACACUGGAACUGAGUCACGGUCCAGACUCCUACGGGAGGCAGCAGUGGGGAAUUUUGGACAAUGGGCGAAAGCCUGAUCCAGCCAUUCCGCGUGCAGGAUGAAGGCCCUCGGGUUGUAAACUGCUUUUGUACAGAACGAAAAGGUUUCUACUAAUACUAGGAGCUCAUGACGGUACUGUAAGAAUAAGCACCGGCUAACUACGUGCCAGCAGCCGCCGUAA
Molecule: ribosomal RNA, 493 nt
Filed under: uncultured bacterium
Lineage: Bacteria
Description: partial 16S ribosomal RNA
Rfam family: Bacterial small subunit ribosomal RNA
Source: RNAcentral